GAUGAACGCUGGCGGCGUGCCUAGUACAUGCAAGUCGAGCGAACAGACGAGGAGCUUGCUCCUCUGACGUUAGCGGCGGACGGGUGAGUAACACGUGGAUAACCUACCUAUAAGACUGGGAUAACUUCGGGAAACCGGAGCUAAUACCGGAUAAUAUAUUGAACCGCAUGGUUCAAUAGUGAAAGACGGUUUUGCUGUCACUUAUAGAUGGAUCCGCGCCGCAUUAGCUAGUUGGUAAGGUAACGGCUUACCAAGGCAACGAUGCGUAGCCGACCUGAGAGAGUGAUCGGCCACACUGGAACUGAGACACGGUCCAGACUCCUACGGGAGGCAGCAGUAGGGAAUCUUCCGCAAUGGGCGAAAGCCUGACGGAGCAACGCCGCGUGAGUGAUGAAGGUCUUCGGAUCGUAAAACUCUGUUAUUAGGGAAGAACAAAUGUGUAAGUAACUAUGCACGUCUUGACGGUACCUAAUCAGAAAGCCACGGCUAACUACGUG
Molecule: ribosomal RNA, 497 nt
Filed under: uncultured bacterium
Lineage: Bacteria
Description: partial 16S ribosomal RNA
Rfam family: Bacterial small subunit ribosomal RNA
Source: RNAcentral